RNAcentral lists this ribosomal RNA (907 nucleotides) under uncultured Actinomycetes bacterium. RNAcentral describes it as "bacterial SSU rRNA". It matches the Rfam family "Bacterial small subunit ribosomal RNA", at positions 619 to 1533 of the family's 1533-position model. The record is from RNAcentral. Lineage: Bacteria; Bacillati; Actinomycetota; Actinomycetes.
ACUUGCAGUGGGUACGGGCAGACUAGAGUGUGGUAGGGGAGACUGGGAUUCCUGGUGUAGCGGUGGAAUGCGCAGAUAUCAGGAGGAACACCGAUGGCGAAGGCAGGUCUCUGGGCCAUUACUGACACUGAGAAGCGAAAGCAUGGGGAGCGAACAGGAUUAGAUACCCUGGUAGUCCAUGCCGUAAACGUUGGGAACUAGGUGUGGGUCGCAUUCCACGUGAUCCGUGCCGCAGCUAACGCAUUAAGUUCCCCGCCUGGGGAGUACGGCCGCAAGGCUAAAACUCAAAGGAAUUGACGGGGGCCCGCACAAGCGGCGGAGCAUGCGGAUUAAUUCGAUGCAACGCGAAGAACCUUACCAAGGCUUGACAUACGCCGGAAUCACUCAGAGAUGGGUGCGUCUUCGGACUGGUGUACAGGUGGUGCAUGGUUGUCGUCAGCUCGUGUCGUGAGAUGUUGGGUUAAGUCCCGCAACGAGCGCAACCCUCGUUCUAUGUUGCCAGCACGUGAUGGUGGGGACUCAUAGGAGACUGCCGGGGUCAACUCGGAGGAAGGUGGGGAUGACGUCAAAUCAUCAUGCCCCUUAUGUCUUGGGCUCCACGCAUGCUACAAUGGCCGGUACAAAGGGCUGCGAUACCGCGAGGUGGAGCGAAUCCCAAAAAACCGGUCUCAGUUCGGAUUGGGGUCUGCAACUCGACCCCAUGAAGUCGGAGUCGCUAGUAAUCGCAGAUCAGCAACGCUGCGGUGAAUACGUUCCCGGGCCUUGUACACACCGCCCGUCAAGUCACGAAAGUCGGUAACACCCGAAGCCGGUGGCCCAACUGCCUUGUGCAGGGGGAGCCGUCGAAGGUGGGACUGGCGAUUGGGACUAAGUCGUAACAAGGUACCAAUCCCGCGGCCAUGCGGCC